This 354-nucleotide unclassified non-coding RNA is filed under the name soil metagenome. RNAcentral describes it as "partial contains 5.8S ribosomal RNA, internal transcribed spacer 2, and large subunit ribosomal RNA". The stretch from base 1 to 120 matches the Rfam family "5.8S ribosomal RNA", at positions 35 to 154 of the family's 154-position model. The record is from RNAcentral.
GAUGAAGAACGCAGCGAAACGCGAUAUGUAAUGUGAAUUGCAGAAUUCAGUGAAUCAUCGAAUCUUUGAACGCACAUGGCGCCUUCCAGUAUCCUGGGAGGCAUGCCUGUCCGAGCGUCGUUUCAACCCUCGAGCCCCCGUGGCCCGGCGUUGGGGAUCUGCCCAGGCAGUCCCCGAAAACCAGUGGCGGACCCGUUACAGGCCCUUCCCUUGCGUAGUAGCAUUCGCCUCGCAUCGGGAGCCGGCGGGCUUCCAGCCUCUAAACCCCCAUCAAGUCCGCCCCGGCGGCACCAAGGUUGACCUCGGAUCAGGUAGGAAUACCCGCUGAACUUAAGCAUAUCGAUAAGCGGAGGA